Molecule: ribosomal RNA, 459 nt
Filed under: uncultured bacterium
Lineage: Bacteria
Description: partial 16S ribosomal RNA
Rfam family: Bacterial small subunit ribosomal RNA
Source: RNAcentral
CCUACGGGAGGCUGCAGUGAGGAAUAUUGGUCAAUGGGCGCGAGCCUGAACCAGCCAAGUAGCGUGAAGGAUGACUGCCCUACGGGUUGUAAACUUCUUUUAUAAAGGAAUAAAGUGAGGCACGUGUGCCUUUUUGUAUGUACUUUAUGAAUAAGGAUCGGCUAACUCCGUGCCAGCAGCCGCGGUAAUACGGAGGAUGCGAGCGUUAUCCGGAUUUAUUGGGUUUAAAGGGGGCGCAGGCGGAUUUUUAAGUCAGCGGUCAAAUGGUGGGGCUAAACCCCAUCCCGCCGUUGAAACUGGGGAUCGAGUGUGUGCGAGAGGUAUGCGGAAUGCGUGGUGUAGCGGUGAAAUGCAUAGAUAUCACGCAGAACCCCGAUUGCGAAGGCAGCAUACCGGUGCACAACUGACGCUCAGGCACGAAAGCGUGGGUAUCGAACAGGAUUAGAUACCCUUGUAGUC